GAUGGACGCUGACAGAAUGCUUAACACAUGCAAGUCUACUUGAACUUCGGUUUGGGUGGCGGACGGGUGAGUAACGCGUAAAGAACUUGCCUCACAGUUAGGGACAACAUUUGGAAACGAAUGCUAAUACCUGAUAUUAUGAUUUUAGGGCAUCCUAAAAUUAUGAAAGCUAUAUGCGCUGUGAGAGAGCUUUGCGUCCCAUUAGCUAGUUGGAGAGGUAACGGCUCACCAAGGCGAUGAUGGGUAGCCGGCCUGAGAGGGUGAACGGCCACAAGGGGACUGAGACACGGCCCUUACUCCUACGGGAGGCAGCAGUGGGGAAUAUUGGACAAUGGACCAAAAGUCUGAUCCAGCAAUUCUGUGUGCACGAUGACGUUUUUCGGAAUGUAAAGUGCUUUCAGUUGGGAAGAAAAAAAUGACGGUACCAACAGAAGAAGUGACGGCUAAAUACGUG
RNAcentral lists this ribosomal RNA (454 nucleotides) under uncultured bacterium. RNAcentral's name for it is "partial 16S ribosomal RNA". It matches the Rfam family "Bacterial small subunit ribosomal RNA", at positions 28 to 507 of the family's 1533-position model. The record is from RNAcentral.